Molecule: ribosomal RNA, 408 nt
Filed under: uncultured bacterium
Lineage: Bacteria
Description: partial 16S ribosomal RNA
Rfam family: Bacterial small subunit ribosomal RNA
Source: RNAcentral
GACGAACGCUGGCGGCGUGCUUAACACAUGCAAGUCGAACGAAGUGGCGAACGGGUGAGUAACGCGUAAUCAACCUGCCCUUCAGAGGGGGACAACAGUUGGAAACGACUGCUAAUACCGCAUACUGAAGGAGGGGAUUGCGUCUGAUUAGCGAGUUGGAGGGGUAACGGCCCACCAAGGCGAAGAUCAGUAGCCAGUCUGAGAGGAUGAACGGCCACAGUGGGACGGAGACACGGCCCAGACUCCUACGGGAGGCAGCAGUGGGGGAUAUGGCACAAUGGGCGAAAACCUGAUGCAGCGACGCCGCGGGGGGGAUGAAGGCUUGCGGGUUGUAAACCUCUUUCGCUAUCGAACGGGUAGGUGGAGAAGAAGCGCCGGCUAACUACGUGCCAGCCGCCGCGGUAAUAC